GGGCUGGUACGGCGAAUUGGUGAAGCCAGCGGACUGUAAAUCCGUCACCCUUGUGGUAAACAUUGCAGGUUCAAGUCCUGCCCGGCCCACGA
RNAcentral lists this transfer RNA (92 nucleotides) under Sarcina sp. DSM 11001. RNAcentral describes it as "tRNA_Tyr_GTA". It matches the Rfam family "tRNA". From Rfam's summary of the family: Transfer RNA (tRNA) molecules are approximately 80 nucleotides in length. Their secondary structure includes four short double-helical elements and three loops (D, anti-codon, and T loops). Lineage: Bacteria; Bacillati; Bacillota; Clostridia; Eubacteriales; Clostridiaceae. The record is from RNAcentral.